Sciurus carolinensis (gray squirrel) is the source of this 738-nucleotide long non-coding RNA. RefSeq lists it as uncharacterized. The transcript has 4 exons. The record is from RefSeq and is a predicted model, not a curated record. NCBI's taxonomy places the organism in Eukaryota, Metazoa, Chordata, Mammalia, Rodentia, Sciuridae.
UCCCAGGUGAGCACCGGUGCCGGCCGGCAGCCACUGCCAGGAAGCGAGCGAGCUUCAGCGCCCCGACGCUCGGCGUACGCGGGUGUGUGUGCGUGUGCGAGCGGCGAGCAAAAUACCUGAAAGUGCCUCGUGCGUUACAAGCAAACGUGCACGUUCAAUUUUAGUGUCUUCCCUUUCAGAAUGAGUUUUUGUAUAUGGAACACAUUACCGGCAGUGUAUGGAAAUGAGGAACAGAAGAAUCAAAUGGUUGCACUUUCACACCACACUGAAGUCAAAUGUCAUGCGGAUGGCAUCUGACCCUGUGGCCAUGGAGCCUGAAAUCCUAGAACCCUCUCCCUGGACCCUCAGAUGCUUGGCCACUUUUGGUCCAUGAGCAAUUUCUAGUGACCCAGCUGAGGAUCCAGAACCACUUUGAGCAGCGUACACCAUAGGCCUCCUGCAACAAACUGACAACUGUUGGUGUUUCCAUUUUUUCAUAAGCCUUCACCCUAGCCAUUUUGGCAGGAGUGUUCCCAAGUGCAAGAGUGUCCAGUAGUGGGAUUUUCCAAGCUACUGGUCAGGGACACAGCUGUAUAAAUGAUGACCACCUGCCACAGAGCCUGUCCCAAGGGCUUCACCUGCGAGCCUAAUAAAUCAUAGGUGGCAGGACAGUAGGUCAAGCCAUAUGGGACUUCCCAGUCAGUUUUGUCAGCAGAAGUUUAUUUUUGAUGGAAUUUUAAAAACCAGACUCAACAGGAA